This 67-nucleotide transfer RNA is filed under the name Liocranchia reinhardtii. RNAcentral describes it as "tRNA-Ala". Lineage: Eukaryota; Metazoa; Mollusca; Cephalopoda; Oegopsida; Cranchiidae. The record is from RNAcentral.
GGUAUUAUACUUUAUAUUAGAAGGUAUGAUUUGCACUCAUAAAGAAAGAUUUUUUUCUUUAAUACCA